RNAcentral lists this ribosomal RNA (2896 nucleotides) under Clostridioides difficile. RNAcentral describes it as "bacterial LSU rRNA". It matches the Rfam family "Bacterial large subunit ribosomal RNA". The record is from RNAcentral. Lineage: Bacteria; Bacillati; Bacillota; Clostridia; Peptostreptococcales; Peptostreptococcaceae.
UCAAGUUAUUAAGGGUGCAGGGCGGAUGCCUUGGCACUAGGAGCCGAUGAAGGACGUGAUAAGCUGCGAUAAGCUUCGGGGAGUUGCACGUAAACUUUGAUCCGAAGAUUUCCGAAUGAGGAAACUCACUUAGAGUAAUGUCUAAGUAUCAUUAAGUGAAUACAUAGCUUAAUGAGGGGAACUCAGGGAACUGAAACAUCUAAGUACCUGAAGGAAGAGAAAGAAAUUCGAUUCCGUAAGUAGCGGCGAGCGAACGCGGAUUAGCCCAAACCAAUAAAGUUUUCUUUAUUGGGGUUGCGGACAUAUCAUAACGAAGAGGUAUCGUAAUUGAAGAGGUUUGGAAAGACCCACCACAGAAGGUAAUAGUCCUGUAUGUUAAACGAGAAGACUUUAGAUAUGAUCCAGAGUACCACGGGACACGUGAAACCCUGUGGGAAGCAGGAGGGACCACCCUCCAAGGCUAAAUACUACCUAGUGACCGAUAGCGUAUAGUACCGUGAGGGAAAGGUGAAAAGAACCCCGGGAGGGGAGUGAAAUAGAACCUGAAACCCUGCACUUACAAGCUGUGGAAGCACAUUUCUUGUGUGACCGCGUACUUUUUGUAGAACGGGCCAACGAGUUACGUUAAGUAGCAAGGUUAAGCACUUAAGGUGUGGAGCCGUAGCGAAAGCGAGUUUUAACUGAGCGUUCAGUUACUUGACGUAGACCCGAAACCGGGCGACCUACCCAUGAGCAGGAUGAAGCGAAAGUAAAAUUUCGUGGAGGUCCGAACCCACGAGCGUUGAAAAGCUCGGGGAUGACUUGUGGGUAGCGGUGAAAUUCCAAUCGAGCCCGGAGAUAGCUGGUUCUCCCCGAAAUAGCUUUAGGGCUAGCCUCAAGGUGAGAGAUACGGAGGUAGAGCACUGAAUGUCCUAGGGGGUAUUGCACCUACCGAAGACUAUCAAACUCCGAAUGCCGUCAUCUUAUACUUGGGAGUCAGACUGUGGGUGAUAAGAUUCAUAGUCGAAAGGGCAACAGCCCAGAUCGUCAGCUAAGGUCCCUAAAUGUAAGUUAAGUGGUAAAGGAUGUGGGAUUGCACAGACAACCAGGAUGUUGGCUUAGAAGCAGCCACUCAUUCAAAGAGUGCGUAAUAGCUCACUGGUCGAGUGAUCCUGCGCCGAAGAUUUCCGGGGCUAAAACUUACUACCGAAGCUACGGCAUCAGUAAUGAUGGGUAGGGGAGCUUCCCAUACGGGUUGAAGCAUGACCGUAAGGACAUGUGGACAGUAUGGGAGUGAGAAUGUUGGCAUGAGUAGCGAGAUGUGGGUGAGAAUCCCACAGGCCGUAAACCCAAGGUUUCCAGGGGAAGGUUCGUCCGCCCUGGGUUAGUCGGGACCUAAGCUGAGGCCGAAAGGCGUAGGUGAUGGACAACAGGUUGAUAUUCCUGUACUACCGAUAACCNUUUGAGAGAAGGGAUGACACAGUAGGAUAAGCUAAGCACACUGUUGGUUAUGUGUGCCCAAGCAUUGAGGCAGUCAAAGUAGGCAAAUCCGCUUUGAUAAUGCUGGGAUGUGAUGGGGAGCGAAAUUUAGUAGCGAAGUAGCUGAUUUCACACUGUCAAGAAAAGUCUCUAUCGAGGUUAAAGGUACCCGUACCGCAAACCGACACAGGUGGGUGAGGAGAGUAUCCUAAGGCCAGCGAGAGAACUGUUGUUAAGGAACUCGGCAAAAUGACCCCGUAACUUAGGGAUAAGGGGUGCCACCAUCAGGUGGCCGCAGAGAAUAGGCCCAAGCGACUGUUUACCAAAAACAUAGGUUUCUGCUAAGUCGCAAGACGAUGUAUAGGAGCUGACGCCUGCCCGGUGCUGGAAGGUUAAGGGGAUCUGUUAGAGCAAUCGAAGCAGUGAACUUAAGCCCCAGUAAACGGCGGCCGUAACUAUAACGGUCCUAAGGUAGCGAAAUUCCUUGUCGGGUAAGUUCCGACCCGCACGAAAGGCGUAACGAUUUGGGCACUGUCUCAACAACAGACUCGGUGAAAUUGUAAUUCCGGUGAAGAUGCCGGAUACCUGCGACAGGACGGAAAGACCCCAUGGAGCUUUACUGUAGCUUGACAUUGGGUCUUGGUACUACAUGUACAGGAUAGGUGGGAGGCUUUGAAACCAGGACGCCAGUUUUGGCGGAGCCAUCCUUGGGAUACCACCCUUGUAGUACUGGGACUCUAACCAUAGGCCAUGAAUCUGGUCUUGGGACACUGUCAGGUGGGCAGUUUGACUGGGGCGGUCGCCUCCCAAAAGGUAACGGAGGCGCUCAAAGGUUCUCUCAGUACGGUCGGAAAUCGUACGUAGAGUGUAAAGGCAAAAGAGAGCUUGAUUGCAAGACAUACAGGUCGAGCAAGGAUGAAAAUCGGACUUAGUGAUCCGGUGGUUCUGCGUGGAAGGGCCAUCGCUCAACGGAUAAAAGCUACCCUGGGGAUAACAGGCUUAUCUCCCCCAAGAGUCCACAUCGACGGGGAGGUUUGGCACCUCGAUGUCGGCUCAUCACAUCCUGGGGCUGUAGUAGGUCCCAAGGGUUGGGCUGUUCGCCCAUUAAAGUGGUACGCGAGCUGGGUUCAGAACGUCGUGAGACAGUUCGGUCCCUAUCCGUCGCAGGCGUAGGAAAUUUGAGAAGACCUGUCCUUAGUACGAGAGGACCGGGAUGGACGUACCUCUGGUGUACCAGUUGUUCUGCCAAGGGCAUGGCUGGGUAGCUAUGUACGGAAUGGAUAAGCGCUGAAAGCAUCUAAGCGCGAAGCCAACUUCAAGAUAAGAUUUCCCACCGCAAGGGUAAGACCCCAGAAAGACUAUCUGGUUGAUAGGUCGAAGGUGUAAGUGCAGCAAUGUAUUUAGCUUAUCGAUACUAAUAGGUCGAGGACUUGACCAA